Molecule: long non-coding RNA, 2555 nt
Filed under: Ananas comosus (pineapple)
Lineage: Eukaryota; Viridiplantae; Streptophyta; Magnoliopsida; Poales; Bromeliaceae
Description: long non-coding RNA (ACOM_LNC034667)
Source: RNAcentral
AGUCAAAAAGCCAAUUGUUGUAGUAAGGGCCUGUUUGCCUAGCUUCUAAAAAAAUGAUUUCUGAAAAAAUAAUUUUGGUUUGAGGAAGUGAUUUUAGUUAAAAACUAUAGAGCGUUUGGUAAAUUUUAAAUAAAAGUGAUUUUUCUAAAGUGAUUUUGAAAAGCUGUUUGGCAAAUUUUUUUUGAUAUUGCCAUAAAUUAAUAUUUUUAUUAAAUUUUAUUUUAAAUUAAUUUAAAAUCUAAAUUUAAAUUUGAAUUAAAAUUAAAACUUUUAAAUUUCAAAAUUGUACAAAAUUUAAAAUUUGAUAUUUUAAUUUUAAAAAUAAUUUAAAAUUUAAAAAAUUUAAAAUUUAAAAUAAUUAUGAAAUUUAGAAAUUAAAAAUAUAAAUAUAAAUUUAAAAAUAAAUAUAUUAUGAAUUUUAAAAUAUUAAAUUUUAAUAUAUAAAAAUAUAAAUUUAAAUUAAAAUUUCAAACUUUAAAUUUAGAAUUUUGAAUUUAAAAUUUAAAAUCUAAAUUUAAAAUUUAAAAUUUAAAAUUUAAAUUUAAAUUUUGAAAUUUAAAAUUUAAAAUUUAAAAUCUAAAUGUAAAAAUAUAAAUAAUUAUGAAAUUUAAAAUAUAAAAUAUUUAUAUUUAAAAAUAUUAAAUUUUAAAUUUCAAAAUUUAAAUUUAAAAAUUAAAAUUAAAAAUAAAAAUUAAAAUUAAAUUUAAAAAUUAAAAUUAAAAAUUAAAAAUUAAAAAUUAAAAUUAAAAUUAAAAUUUAAAAUUAAAAAUUUAAAAUAAUUAUGAAAUUUAAAAUAUAAAAUAUAAAAUUUGAAUAUUUAAAAUUUAAAAUUUAAAAUUUAAAAUUUAAAAUUUAAAAUUUAAAAUUUGAAUAUUUAAAAUUUAAAAUUUAAAAUUUAAAAUUUAAAAUUUGAAUAUUUAAAUAUUAAAUAUUAAAUAUUUAAAAUUUAAAUAUUAAAAUUUGAAAUUUUAAAUUUUUAAAAUUUGAAAUUUAUAAUUUGAAGAUUAAAAAUUAUAAUUUAAAAUUUAAAAAUUUAAAAUUUUUACAUUUAAAUUUUAAAAUCUCAAAUUUUAGAUUUGAAAUUUUAUCUUAAAUUUGAAAUUUGAAAUUUGAAAAUUGAAAAUUGAAAAUUGAAAAUUGAAAUUUUUAAAAUUUAAAAUUUUAAAAUCUAAAAUUUGAGAUUUGAAAUUUAAAAUUAAAAUUUAAAAUUAAAAUUUAAAAUUUAAAGUUUGAAAUCUUUUUUUAAAAAUUUAAAAUUUAAAAGUUAAAAUUUAAAAAUUCAAAGAUGAAUCUGAAAAUUAAAAUUUAAAAUUAAAAUUAAAAUUAAAUAUUUAAAUUAAAAUUAAAAUAAAAAAUUGAAGUUUAAAUCCAAAAUCAGAAUCAGAUUUCAAAAACAGUUUUUUUUCUGUUUCUAAUUCUGAGGUAUUCAAAAUUAGUUUUUUGAUUCUACAAAGCAGAAUCAGAUUUGAAAAGUGAGUUGCCAAACGCUUUAUUGAGCCGAAAAUUACUUUUCAGCCCAAAAGUAUUUUUUAAAAGUUAGACCAAACACCCCUAAGGACGUAAAACUAUGGUGUGUGAAUUCUUUUGUACCUAGUGAUGCGUGCAAUUAAUACUUCUGCAAAAUGUCACAAAUGGUAGUUAGUAUCCGAGAAUUUAAAUUCAAAAUUUAGUUGUUUUAUAUUUUAGCUAUCCGGAUAGCUAAAAGCACCUAUCUCUAUUUGUUGUUGAAUAUUCGUGCACCGUAAAAAAUAAAUGAAGUGGAUAGCUAUAGGGGUGGCAAUCCAGCUUACUGUUCGCGAGCCAGCUCGUGUUCGGCUUGAAAUGAGCUCAAGAUCGAAUCGUUCUUUUAAUAAGCGAGCCAAACACGAGCUGAAUUUUUCAGCUCGUUUAAUAAACGAGCCGAACAUGAGCUGGGGUCAGCUCGCUCGUGUUCGGGUCGAUAACAGCUCGAAUACAUAUAUUUUAUAUUUAUAUAAUUUAUAUUUAUAUAUAUUUAUAUAUACAAAUAAAUAAUUAUAUAUAUAAUAUAUAUAUUUUUAUUAUUUGAUUUUUAGCCAAAAAAAUAUAAAGCCGAGCUCAAUUAUAAAGAGACUUAUUUAUAUGUAAAGUUUCAACAAUUAGAUUAAAGUCUAGUGAGUAAUAUUUUAUAAACUUAUUUUUUAUGUAGAUCCAAUCUAAUCAAUUUAACUUAUUGUUCGUUGGCCAGCUCGUGAACCAGCUCGUAUUCGGCUCGUUAAUAAACAAGCCGAACACAAGCUGAAUUUUUCGACUCGAUACUUUAAUGAGCCAGCUCGUGUUUGGCUCGUUGACGCCCCUAGAUAGCUAAGACUAUCUAGUUAUAAUUGUACAUUUUCUUUUUUGAGAGAUAGGUAGCACGCUGCCCGCUUCAUUUAUUUCAUUUAGGAAUAAACUAAGCUAGAAAUGUGAAUCAACUAGGAUUCGAACUUGGGUCUCGAGUACCAACCACCAAGUCCUUUGCCACUUGUUCUAGGAACGGUUGGUUAUAGUUGUACAUUUUCGUAUUGCAAAAAAUGAAUGGAGUGAGUAGCUAGAAG